This 492-nucleotide ribosomal RNA is filed under the name uncultured bacterium. Its description in RNAcentral is "partial 16S ribosomal RNA". It matches the Rfam family "Bacterial small subunit ribosomal RNA", at positions 29 to 507 of the family's 1533-position model. The record is from RNAcentral.
AGUGAACGCUGGCGGUAGGCCUAACACAUGCAAGUCGAACGGCAGCACAGUAAGAGCUUGCUCUUACGGGUGGCGAGUGGCGGACGGGUGAGGAAUACAUCGGAAUCUACUUUUUCGUGGGGGAUAACGUAGGGAAACUUACGCUAAUACCGCAUACGACCUACGGGUGAAAGCAGGGGAUCUUCGGACCUUGCGCGAUUGAAUAAGCCGAUGUCGGAUUAGCUAGUUGGCGGGGUAAAGGCCCACCAAGGCGACGAUCCGUAGCUGGUCUGAGAGGAUGAUCAGCCGCACUGGAACUGAGACACGGUCCAGACUACUACGGGAGGCAGCAGUGGGGAAUAUUGGACAAUGGGCGCAAGCCUGGUCCAGCCAUACCGCGUGGGUGAAGAAGGCCUUCGGGUUGUAAAGCCCUUUUGUUGGGAAAGAAAAGCAGCAGGUUAAUACCCCGCUGUUCUGACGGUACCCAAAGAAUAAGCACCGGCUAACUUCGUG